UACGUAGGGUGCGAGCGUUAAUCGGAAUUACUGGGCGUAAAGCGUGCGCAGGCGGUCGUUCAAGUCGAGUGUGAAAGCCCCCGGCUCAACUGGGGAGGGUCACUCGAUACUGAUCGACUUGAGUCCGGUAGGGGAGUGUGGAAUUCCCGGUGUAGCGGUGAAAUGCGCAGAUAUCGGGAGGAACACCCGUAGCGAAGGCGGCACUCUGGGCCGUGACUGACGCUGAGGAGCGAAAGCGUGGGGAGCAAACAGG
This 253-nucleotide ribosomal RNA is filed under the name uncultured bacterium. RNAcentral's name for it is "partial 16S ribosomal RNA". It matches the Rfam family "Bacterial small subunit ribosomal RNA", at positions 524 to 776 of the family's 1533-position model. The record is from RNAcentral.